UAAUGAGGGAAGGAAAAGAAACUAACUAGGAUUUUCUUAGUAGCGGCGAGCGAAAAGAAAUCAAGUUCAGCACUGAGUUAUUUUGUUAUAUUAACAAAUAUAAGAUGCAGUGUAUGGAAUAUCUAUAAUCUAGUAUGAAAUUAACAGUCCAAGUCCUUCUUGAACGAGGCCAGUUACCCAUAGAGGGUGCCAGGCCCGUAGUGACGUUAAUAAUUACUAGAAGAUAUUUCUUAAGAGUCGUGUUGCUUGAUAGUGCAGCACUAAUUUGGUGGUAAACUCCAUCUAAAACUAAAUAUGACCAUGAGACCGAUAGCAAACAAGUACCGUGAGGGAAAGUUGAAAAGAACUCUGAAUAGAGAGUUAAAUAGUACGUGAAACUGCUUAGAGGUUAAGCCCGAUGAACCUGAAUAUCCAAUAUGAAAAAUUCAUCAUUAAAAAUAUAUUAAUAUUAUUUAAUAUAUAUAUAAUGUGCAUUUUUUUCAUAUAAGGACAUUGUAAUCUGUUAAUAUAAAAUUUAUCAUAAGUACCGUACGAAUUAGUUUAUAUGUUAUUAUUAAAAAAUUUUUUUUUUAUAAUAUAUAUAAAAUUCAAUAGCGGUUACAGAUAAAUUAUUGACAGAUUUUUAUAUAUAACGCUUACAUAUCUUUAUAUGUUAUAAUAAAAUAAUAAUCAUGUAUUAUUAUUUUUAUUAUAUGCGUUUAUAUGAUUAACAAUGCUAUAGAUUUAGGAUACCUUCGGGACCCGUCUUGAAACACGGACCAAGGAGUCUAACAUGUGUGCAAGCCAUUGGGUUUUUAAAACCUAAAGGCGUAAUUAACUUAACUGUUAUUUUAAUAUGGGAUUAAUAUAUAUAUAUUUAUUUAUAUAUAUAAUCCAUCCCGGGGCGUUCUAUAUAGUUAUGCAUUUUAAUAUAUACCUAUAUAUAUUAUAUAUGCCUCUAACUAGAGCGUACCUUUAGUAUAUAUGUUGUGACCCGAAAGAUGGUGAACUAUACCUGAUCAGGUUGAAGUCAGGGGAAACCCUGAUGGAAGACCGAAACAGUUCUGACGUGCAAAUCGAUUGUCAGAAUUGGGUAUAGCGGCGAAAGACCAAUCGAACCAUCUAGUAGCUGGUUCCCUCCGAAGUUUCCCUCAGGAUAGCUGGUGCAUUUAAAUAUUAUGUAAAAUAAUCUUAUCUGGUAAAGCGAAUGAUUAGAGGCAUUAGGGCCGAAACGACCUUAACCUAUUCUCAAACUUUAAAUGAGUAAGAACCUAACCUUUCUUGAUAUGAAGGUUAGUUAUGAUAUAUUGUGCCAGUGGGCCACUUUUGGUAAGCAGAACUGGCGCUGUGGGAUGAACCAAACGUGAUGUUACGGCGCCUAAAUUAACAACUCAUACUGAUACCAUGAAAGGCGUUGCUUGCUUAAAACAGCAGGACGGUGGACAUGGAAGUCGUAAUCCGCUAAGGAGUGUGUAACAACUCACCUGCCGAAGCAACUAGCCCUUAAAAUGGAUGGCGCUCAAGUUGUAUGCCUAUACAUCACCGCUAAAAUAUAUGAUUUAUAAAAAUUUUAUUUUUAUAAAUUUUGAAACUUUAGUGAGUAGGAGGGUACAAUGGUGUGCGUAGAAGUGUUUGGCGUAAGCCUGCAUGGAGCCGCCAUUGGUACAGAUCUUGGUGGUAGUAGCAAAUAAUCGAAUGAGACCUUGGAGGACUGAAGUGGAGAAGGGUUUCGUGUGAACAGUGGUUGAUCACGAGUUAGUCGGUCCUAAGUUCAAGGCGAAAGCCGAAAAAUUUUAAGUUAUAUAUUUAUAAUAUAAUAAUAAUAUACUUAUAAUUUUGAACGAAAGGGAAUACGGUUCCAAUUCCGUAACCUGUUGAGUAUACGUUUGUUAUUAAAAAUGGGCUUUUAUGCUCAUCCUGGUAACAGAAACAACCAUAAAGAAGCCGUCGAGAAAUAUCGAAAGAGUUUUCUUUUCUGUUUCAUAGUCGUACUACCAUGGAAGUCUUUCGAAGAGAGAUAUGGUAGAUGGACUAGAAGAGCAUGGCAUUUACUGCUGUGUCGAUAUUUUCUCCUCGGACCUUGAAAAUUUAUGGUGGGGUCACGCAAACUUCUUAACAGGCCGUACCGAUAUCCGCAGCUGGUCUCCAAGGUGAAGAGUCUCUAGUCGAUAGAAUA
This 2155-nucleotide ribosomal RNA is filed under the name Acnephalum cylindricum. Its description in RNAcentral is "eukaryotic LSU rRNA". It matches the Rfam family "Eukaryotic large subunit ribosomal RNA", at positions 44 to 1897 of the family's 3401-position model. Lineage: Eukaryota; Metazoa; Arthropoda; Insecta; Diptera; Asilidae. The record is from RNAcentral.